This 427-nucleotide ribosomal RNA is filed under the name uncultured bacterium. Its description in RNAcentral is "bacterial SSU rRNA". It matches the Rfam family "Bacterial small subunit ribosomal RNA", at positions 354 to 796 of the family's 1533-position model. The record is from RNAcentral.
GUGGGGAAUAUUGCACAAUGGGGGGAACCCUGAUGCAGCAACGCCGCGUGAGUGAAGAAGGCAUUCGUGUCGUAAAACUCUGUAGUAGGGGAAGAAAGAAAUGACAGUACCCUAAAAGAAAGCCCCGGCUAACUACGUGCCAGCAGCCGCGGUAAUACGUAGGGGGCAAGCGUUAUCCGGAAUAACUGGGCGUAAAGGGUGCGCAGGUGGUUUAACAAGUUAGUGGUGAAAGGCAUAGGCUCAACCAAUGUAAGCCAUUAAAACUGUUUAACUUGAGUGCAGGAGAGGAAAGUGGAAUUCCUAGUGUAGCGGUGAAAUGCGUAGAUAUUAGGAGGAAUACCAGUGGCGAAGGCGACUUUCUGGACUGCAACUGACACUGAGGCACGAAAGCGUGGGGAGCAAACAGGAUUAGAAACCCUAGUAGUCC